This 391-nucleotide ribosomal RNA is filed under the name uncultured Staphylococcus sp. RNAcentral's name for it is "bacterial SSU rRNA". It matches the Rfam family "Bacterial small subunit ribosomal RNA", at positions 554 to 945 of the family's 1533-position model. The record is from RNAcentral. Lineage: Bacteria; Bacillati; Bacillota; Bacilli; Caryophanales; Staphylococcaceae.
UUGGGCGUAAGCGCGCGUAGGCGGUUUUUUUAAGAUCUGAUGUGAAAGCCCACGGCCUCAACCGGUGGGAGGGUCAUUGGAAACUGGAAAACUUGAGUGCAGAAGAGGAAAGUGGAAUUCCAUGUGUAGCGGUGAAAUGCGCAGAGAUAUGGAGGAACACCUGGUGGCGAAGGCGACUUUCUGGUCUGUAACUGACGCUGAUGUGCGAAAGCGUGGGGAUCAAACAGGAUUAUAUACCCUGGUAGUCCACCCCGUAAACGAUGAGUGCUAAGUGUUAGGGGGUUUCCCCCCCUUAGUGCUGCACCUAACGCAUUAAGCACUCCGCCUGGGGAGUACGACCGCAGGGUUGAAACUCAAAUGAAUUGACGGAAUCACUAGUGAAGCUCACAAC